GGGCGCUUAGCUCAGCUGGUAGAGCACUUGCUCGACAAGCAAGGGGUCACUGGUUCAAGUCCAGUAGCGCCCACCA
Molecule: transfer RNA, 76 nt
Filed under: Candidatus Eiseniibacteriota bacterium
Lineage: Bacteria; Candidatus Eiseniibacteriota
Also listed under: 2 other names
Description: Candidatus Eisenbacteria bacterium (sediment metagenome) tRNA-Val
Rfam family: tRNA
About the family: Transfer RNA (tRNA) molecules are approximately 80 nucleotides in length. Their secondary structure includes four short double-helical elements and three loops (D, anti-codon, and T loops).
Source: RNAcentral